Molecule: unclassified non-coding RNA, 714 nt
Filed under: Hevea brasiliensis (rubber tree)
Lineage: Eukaryota; Viridiplantae; Streptophyta; Magnoliopsida; Malpighiales; Euphorbiaceae
Source: RNAcentral
AACACAAUAUUUGAUGGCUAUGGACCCUGGGCUGGAGAUAUAUCUACACGAGAUCAGGGUUCAUUGGUUGCCUUUGAGGAUGGAACAUCUACUUCUUAUGCCCUUUCUAGUUCACAGGAGAGGGGGCAGAUGUUCAUUGGUCCUGGAGUGGAAGUUUACAAAGGUCAAAUAGUUGGAAUCCAUCAGCGACCAGGGGACCUUUCACUUAAUGUGUGUAAGAAAAAGGCUGCGACAAAUAUACGUUCAAAUAAAGAGCAAACAGUGGUUCUUGACACCCCCUUGGAUUAUAGUCUCGAUGACUGCAUUGAGUACAUUCAAGAAGAUGAGCUGGUGGAGGUCACUCCCUCAAGUAUCCGAAUGUGCAAAAAUCCAAAGCUUGCAAAAAAGACAAGAUAAGCAUUUUAGACUUGCAUCCAGUGAAUCUGCUAGCAAAACCAUCCUUGCUUGACUAAUCUCAAUGCAAUAGAAGCCUCAUACUUGCGCAUUUAAAUUCAUAUCAUUUGCCAUUCAUCCGACUUGAUAUAGAAUGAAUCAUUGUUUAGGAAUGCCAAGCAUUUUAAGUUUUGCUUCCUGAUACAAGUCUGUAUAUAACUAGUUAUAUGGCACAUUCAAUUGGUGAAUUGUAUUGCUAGGAAAUAAGCAAGUGAAGAUUCUCAAGUCCUGUAAUAUCAGAAUCAGGCACAGGCAGUCACUCUCUAAGAGGGGCUGAAAUAA